CAGUCUACGCUGAGUGAGAUCUGUAUACCACAAUGACAGGGGCUCACUGUGACAGUACAAUCUAUGAAGCUAUUUGUGCUACCAUUUUCAGUUUCACGUCGAAUUGAAUUUGGUAGCGGCGACGACUUAACUAGUAACGGGAGUUGCAAGAUAGAGUGGCAAAGGCGAAGGAUCGUAAUGAUGAGAUCAUUAAGAUUCGCAGGGAGAUAGUAGACUUCCAUGGGGAGAGUGUUUUGCUGAAAAAUUAUAGUGCCCUCAACUAUACAGAUAAUUUCGAGUUCUUUCUUUAAAUGUGAAAAUUAGUUUCACCUCAAAAUUUUAUGGGCGUCUCUGAGAAGUCUCUGUAAAUGCAGAAGACUUAACGUUUCAGGAUUUUGUUGUACAUUUGUAUCUACUGUGAUUGUCUGAUUAUUGUGCACCGAGAUGGUGACAUCAUAAGUCACUUUAUAAUCUCAUAGGUAGCGAUAAACAUUGGCGGAUGUAGCUCUUUGGCAAUGGGUUCAUCUCAAGUUCUUUCAA
Capsicum annuum is the source of this 519-nucleotide long non-coding RNA. RefSeq lists it as uncharacterized. The transcript has 2 exons. NCBI's taxonomy places the organism in Eukaryota, Viridiplantae, Streptophyta, Magnoliopsida, Solanales, Solanaceae. The record is from RefSeq and is a predicted model, not a curated record.